Molecule: ribosomal RNA, 392 nt
Filed under: uncultured bacterium
Lineage: Bacteria
Description: partial 16S ribosomal RNA
Rfam family: Bacterial small subunit ribosomal RNA
Source: RNAcentral
AUACGGAGGAUCCGAGCGUUAUCCGGAUUUAUUGGGUUUAAAGGGUGCGCAGGCGGCCAUUUAAGUCAGCGGUUAAAUCGUUGGGCUCAACCCCAUUCUGCCGUUGAUACUGGGUGGCUUGAUUGCGGUCGAGGUUGGCGGAAUUCGUUGUGUAGCGGUGAAAUGCAUAGAUAUGACGAAGAACACCGAUUGCGUAGGCAGCUGACCAGACCGCAAAUGACGCUCAUGCACGAAAGUGCGGGGAUCGAACAGGAUUAGAUACCCUGGUAGUCCGCACAGUAAACGAUGAAUACUUGUUUUCGGCGAUAUAAUGUCGGAGGCAAAGCGAAAGCGAUAAGUAUUCCACCUGGGGAGUACGCCGGCAACGGUGAAACUCAAAUGAAUUGGCGGGG